Non-coding RNA from Phrynosoma platyrhinos (Desert horned lizard), 73 nucleotides. Lineage: Eukaryota; Metazoa; Chordata; Lepidosauria; Squamata; Phrynosomatidae. The record is from the annotation of a GenBank genome assembly.
GCCAGCGUAGUGUAGUGGCUUGAGUAUUAGAUUACGACUCUGGAGACCAGGGUUUGAAUCUCUACUCUUGGCA